Molecule: long non-coding RNA, 4395 nt
Filed under: Homo sapiens (human)
Lineage: Eukaryota; Metazoa; Chordata; Mammalia; Primates; Hominidae
Description: non-protein coding TAF1A-AS1:10
Source: RNAcentral
AGUGAGCUGCCUCUCUGCGAUUGGUUUUGCCCGAGUUUUAUUUUUGUCUGUCUCAGCUAGAAAGUGGGAGACUUUCAUUUAAAAUGGAAAUUGGGGCGAGGGGUUGGCGGCUGGGCGAAGGGAGCAUUCAAAAGCGGAGAAUGUCACUUUACCCGAGAAAUUCACUACGAUGGGCCAUUGGUUUCUGCUCGGCUCGCAGGCGCACUGCACGAGUGGAGGUGUGGCUAGUGGCUGUGAUGAGAUAAAUCCAUGCAUAGCCUUUUCAUUGCGAGCUUGAAAGUUCUUUUCUAUUACAGUUUUAGCUUUAGGUUUAAUUGGUUCGACUGCCUUCUCCACAAUUUGGGCGAGAAUUUCCUUUGCCUUCUCAGCAAAAGUUGUUCUGCGGACCCGUCUGGGUCAACUUUCAUGAGGGACAUUGAGACAAACAAAUGAAAUAUGGGUUAAAGGUAAGAUGGUUAAACCGUGUGAAAUGAGAGACAGUUGAGGGGUUCUAGGGAAGAUGAUCCCGGAAAAGGACUGCAGGCCCAUGGAAACGCAGUGUGCUUCUCCAAUAUUUGGAGGGCUGAUCAGUGAAAGAAGGAUCAGACCCUUUUUCUUAGCAGCAGAGAACAGAACUAGGACUAAUAAGUGAAAGGUAAAGGGAGGCUGCUUUCAAGUCACAGCAAGAAAGAAUUUUGUCCACAAAUGAGGAUGCACAAAUAUAGCAUAGGCUCCCCCAGGAAUCACUGAGUUUCCUCUGUGUAGGUGAACAGUUUGAGUAGAAUCGGAGUAUCGGAGAGGAAAUUAAAGGGUCUGGUAAGAGUUUGAGGCCGGGCGCGGUGGCUCAUGCCUGUAAUCCCAGCCCUUUGGGAGGCCGAGGCAGGCGGAAAGUUUGAGCUCAGGAGUUCGAAACCAGCCUAGUCAACAUGAUGAAACCCCGUCCCUACAAAAUAAAAAUAAAAAAAAAUAAGCUGGGGUGAUGAUGCAUGCCUCUAGUCCCAGCUACUCGGGAGGAUGAGGUGGGAGGAUCACCUGAGCCCAGGGAGGUCGAGGCUGCAGUGAGCUGUGAUCACCCUACUGCACUCCAGCCUGGGCGACAGAAUGAGACCCUGUCAAAAAAAAUUUUGUACAUGGAUUCCUUAAAAUGCUACAAAUAGUUGAUUCUAUGUUGUCUUCUGCAUAAAACAAUAUGCAGUAGUUAAGGACUUGCAAGAAAAGUUCCUUCUGCUGCUCUCUCUGUCAUUAGUUCUUGAGUCCUCACUCAAGCUUGUGCUCUAACUCUACAGGCAGGGCUAACAUAAAUUAUGCGUAGUCCAGGAGACCACACACAAAAUAACAUACAUAAUCAUUACUUUCUUGUCUAGAGGCUUAGUCUGGCUACUUUUCUCCCAUUGGCUUGAGGUGUAAAUUCACCAAAACCAGCCCAGAAAUGAUUUUACAUGGAAAAAAGUUUAUGUUCUCCCGAAAAUGAGGAAGAGCUUUCAGAUUUUCCUCGAAGUUCUCAAACAGCUCUAAGGAGCAGUAGGAAACGUGCCCUACCUAUGCUUUUUCUUUCCCAUGCUGCAAUUCUGACAGAAAAUGUGUUGGAGAGAAGAGAUAAAAAAAAUCAACUAGAUCACAUCCAAUAGCAUAAACAAGAAGGAAGGAGGGAAGGUUGCCGUGGCAGGCAUCUGUAGUCCCAGCUACUCCAGAGGCUGAGGCAGGAAGAUCGCUGAGCUCAAAAGUUCAAUUCCAUCCUGGGCAACAUAGCAAGACCAUGUCUCAAAAAAAAAAAAAAAAAAGGCAUGACAAAUAUGAAAACAUAAAGCAUGCAAAGACUUUUCUAGAUUUCAAUCUAUAAGAAAACAUGUCCUAAGAAAAACAUGUUCUUACAAUUACUUUGUGCUACAGAGCAACUUAAUAUGGUGAUGAAUUAUGUUGUUUUUAAAGUUGCAAACUGUCAUUUAAGGAAUAUUAUUUCCAUGAACGCUUCCUGUGCAAUCUAUUAAAGAACAAACUUCACAUAGCCAAACAGUUGAAGAGACCUCAUCAUAAAUAGACUAUCCUAUAUCACAGCUAACGAGAAUAAAAAAGGAAUGUGGCAUGAAAGCAUAAAAAUAAAAACAUCUCAGAUAAUAAUAUAGAGAAAACCAAAAUACAUGGGCUAGAAUUCCACCCCAGGGACUGUAUCCUCAAAGACACAGGUUUUUCUUCCUUUUUCUUUUUUUUUUCUUUUCAUGUUUCAGUACUCUGAGCAGCUACAAAAAGAAGACCAGUCUAUCCUGCUGGAGACAGUGGCCACGUGAAGAAAGAGCUCUUGCAGUAUGAAAGACCACAUGGAAAGAGAGGCCACAUGGAACCAACAGUCAGCAUCUUGGUUUCGGACACGUGAAGAAAUUCAUCUCAGACUGUGUAUCCUAAAUCAGGCACUUGCUGAAUCUAACUACAUGAGUGAGACCAGUUGACAACACAUGGAGCAGACAUGAGCUGUUCUCAGUGAGUCCUACACAAAUUCCUGACUCACAACACUGUGAGCAAUAAAAUGGUUGUUAUUUUAAGCCACUGAAGUUUGCAGUGAUUUCUUACAUAGGAAUAGAUAAAUGAAACACAAACAUUGAUCAUUUGCAUCUUCUAUCUUUUUUAUGACUAGUCUUAUUGGAAAUUACCAGUUUAUUUCUGCCAUGGUUAGAAAACAAACUCUGAAAUUUUGAUACUUUAAAAUUUUUUUGAGACUUACUGUGCCCAGAAUAUAGUCUAUCUUGGUGAAUGUUCUGUGAGCACUAGACAAGAAUAUGUAUUCUGUAGUUAUUGAGCAUUGUGUCCAUCAAUGUCAACGUGAUUAAGGUGGUUAAUAGUUGUCUUCAGAUCUUCUAUAUUGUAUUGAUUGUUUUAUGUGUAGUGUUGCUAUUAAUUAUUGAUACAGGAGUGUAAAACUUAAACUAUGGCUGUGAAUUUGCCACUUACUUUAGUUUUGUCAGCUUUUCUUUUGCAUUUUUGAAGCUCUGUUAUUGGGCAUAUAAACAUUUAUGGUUCGUGUGUCUUCCUGAUGAAUUGACCAUUUUAUCAUUAUGAAAUGUCUUUAUUGCUGAUAAUACUCCUUAUCUUGAAGUCUAAUUCAUCCGAUAUUAGUAUAGCCACUGCAGCCUUCCUAGCUUACUGUUUACUGGUAUAUUUUUAUCCAUGUUUUUACUUUCAACCUGUGUUUUUUAAUUUAAUGUGCUUCUCUUAUAGACAACAGAUAGUUGAGUUUGUCUAUCAUUUUGCUAUUUGUUUUCGAUUUGUCCCAUUCAGUUUUGUGUUCCUUUGUUCUUUACUUCCUGCUUUCUUUUGGGUUAAUUAAUGUUUUUAUAUUUCAUCUUAAUUCCUCUGUUGGCUUUAACUGUAUCUUUUUGCAUUAUUGCUUUACAGUGUUUCUGAGAAUUAUGAUAUACAUUCUUAACUUAUCACAGCCUUAGAGUUAAAAUUAUGAUACUUCAUGUAAAAUAAAAGAGCCUUGCAAUAGUAAAGUUCUACUUACCACCUCCCCAAGUCCUUUGUGCUUUGUUGUCAUAUAUAUCAUAUCUAUGCACAUUGUUAUUUUUGCCUUAGUCAUAUGUAUCGCAAAGAAAUUAAGAGAAGAAAAGUAUAUAUUACCUUUUGUGUAUUUACCUACAUUUUGCUAUUUCCAGUUCUUUUCAUUCCUUCCUGUUUGUGGUGAAUUAUCUUUAAGAAUAGCUGUCAAAAAGUAUUCACAUUCUUGUAUGUGCAUGUUGCUUCUCCCUUUAAGAAAUAGAAUCAGCUGGGCAUGGUGGCUCACGUCUGUAAUCCCAGCAAUUUGGGAGGUCAAGGCAGGUGGAUCACAAGGUCAGGAGUUCAAGACCAACCUGAACAACAUGGUGAAACCCUGUCUCUACUGAAAAUACAAAAAAAAAAAAAAAAAAAAAAUUUAGCUGGGCGUGGUGGCACAUACCUGUAAUCCCAGCUACUCAGGAGGCUGAGGCAGGAGAAUCACUUGAACUUGAGAAGCGGAGGUUGCAGGGAGCCAAGAUUGCACCAUUGCACUCCAGCCUGGGUGACAGAGCGAGACUCUGUCUCAAAAAAAAAAAAAAGAAAUAAGAAAUAAAGUCUGUGUUCCCACCCCUUGAAUCUGGGCUGGUCUUUUAACUUUGAUGAACAAAACAUGGUGAAAAUGAUGUCAUACCAAUUCUAGGCCUAGCCCCUAAGAAGCCAUACACCUUUACUUUUAUCCUCUAGAAAGCUGGCCAACAAAUAAGUAAGUUUAGGGUAGAUUACUAAAGAAUGAAAAACAUUUCAGCCAACCAUCCCAACCAUUUCAGCCACACAGCUGAACUACCAGACAUGUGAAUGAAGCUAGUUUGGAAGUUCCAGCCCUGGCUAAGCAUCCAGCUGAAUGCAGCCACCUGAGUGACCCCAGCCAAUAAUAUCCAGAGCAGGAGA